GAUGAACGCUGGCGGCGUGCCUAAUACAUGCAAGUCGAGCGAACAGACGAGAAGCUUGCUCCUCUGACGUUAGCGGCGGACGGGUGAGUAACACGUGGAUAACCUACCUAUAAGACUGGGAUAACUUCGGGAAACCGGAGCUAAUACCGGAUAAUAUAUUGAACCGCAUGGUUCAAUAGUGAAAGACGGUUUUGCUGUCACUUAUAGAUGGAUCCGCGCUGCAUUAGCUAGUUGGUAAGGUAACGGCUUACCAAGGCAACGAUGCAUAGCCGACCUGAGAGGGUGAUCGGCCACACUGGAACUGAGACACGGUCCAGACUCCUACGGGAGGCAGCAGUAGGGAAUCUUCCGCAAUGGGCGAAAGCCUGACGGAGCAACGCCGCGUGAGUGAUGAAGGUCUUCGGAUCGUAAAACUCUGUUAUUAGGGAAGAACAAAUGUGUAAGUAACUAUGCACGUCUUGACGGUACCUAAUCAGAAAGCCACGGCUAACUACGUG
This 497-nucleotide ribosomal RNA is filed under the name uncultured bacterium. Its description in RNAcentral is "partial 16S ribosomal RNA". It matches the Rfam family "Bacterial small subunit ribosomal RNA", at positions 28 to 507 of the family's 1533-position model. The record is from RNAcentral.